Long non-coding RNA from Dama dama (fallow deer), 2146 nucleotides. RefSeq lists it as uncharacterized. The transcript is spliced from 6 exons. The record is from RefSeq and is a predicted model, not a curated record. Lineage: Eukaryota; Metazoa; Chordata; Mammalia; Artiodactyla; Cervidae.
UGCUGACUUUGAGGAACCAAGUGUCCAUGUUGGAGAGCCAUAUCUGACCGACAGCAGCCUCUGACCGAUGGCCGGCUAGGAGCUGAGACCAUUCCAGUAGCCCAUGAAGAACUGAAUCCAGGCAACUGCUAAAAUUUUUUUCACACUGCCACAUCAUGUCAGCAGCUUCUUGAGCUCUAGACUUUUUGGGCAAAUUGUUAACAAUCCCAAUAGAGCCUUCAAAAAACUUAGAGAAAAUGAAUAUAUAAGUUGUUUAGAAAGCAUAUCUGAAUCUGACCAAGAAUGAAGUCUGGCAUAUGUAACAAGAAACGAGCACAUCUUCUAAAUGGGCUCGAUGAGGUGGAUAUUACUGUCAUUGCAUCAGAUGUUACGAUCCCUGAUAAAGCCUCAAAUGAGCUGUAUGCUGAAGAACUAGAAAGAAAUGUAGAAAAGAAGUGACCCCAAACAGAAAUCAAUGACCCAGGCUGUGAUCAGCAACUCGCUGUGUUAGUUUAGUGUCAAGAAUGCGGCUAGGAUUUAAGAAAACUUUACAAUCAUAGAUCACCUCCCCAAACAAAAGCCAAUAAACAAAGAACACAUCUUUAAGGAAAGAGAUGAGAGGAAGAUGGUAAAGAAUCUCUGAGAAAUAACAAAAAGAAAAAGUAGUAAUAAAUGAGCAGAAGAGAAGGAAAUAAAAACAAAAUGAGAGCAAAUUUUCAAGAGUGGAGAAAUAAGAUGAUGCUAUCCCAAAGAACAAGAGUAAAGAAGUUAUGAAUUGGGCUUCACUGAUAGCUCAGUAAAGCACCCACCUGCCAUGGCAGGAGACAUGGAUUUGAUCCCUCAUCCAGGAAGAUUGCACAUGCCUUGGAGCAACUAAACCUGUGCACCACAACUACGAGCUUGUGCUCCACAACAAGAGAAGUCACUGCAAUGAGAAGCACACCCAAAAAGAAGCUAAAUAAGUAAAUAAAUAAAAGUAUAAUAACAACAAAAGCUAUGGGUCAGAGAAAAACAGAAUGAGGGGUGGGGUGCUGAGAUGGAGAAAGCAUGAGGCAUUGUGGGUGAUGAUGAGAGGAGCAGAUCAAGGACUUUUUGUACCUAUUGUGUGCUGGACAGAACAGUAGAAACAUUUCAUCCACAGCUCAUAUGUAGAGUCAACAAGUGUAUGAACAACGAAUGAUUAUUUCAUUUGAUAAAUCAAAGAAGUCCGAGAAAUUAAACAGCUCAUCCAAGAUCGAAAGAAUUAGUAAAAUCCUGAGUCAAAAUGCAUGUCCAAAUCUGUGUGUUUUGACCAAAAACUGGGGCAGGAUUGGAAAGGUCACUCUCCACCCACUGUGUGAAGCAGAGGACAGAUGCCCCUGCUUCUUUCUUCUUUUCUUUGCCAGCUAAUUACAUGUCUGAUUAGUGUAGGACAAAGGAAAAUGCACAGAAGAGAAGCCUGACAAGGUUGAGAAGGAAAUGGCCCGGGAGAAAGGAAGAUGAUUCAUUGAUAAGCCCUUUGUCCUCUAGAAAUGCAAUAGGCCUCCUAGGAGGAGAGACUUCGUGUCUAGGGGGCAGCUUGGGCCUUGAUGGAAGAGUCACCCAGAGGAGGAAGAGAACAGAAGAGCUGGAGUGUUUUCAGACCUCCCUUCCUCAGCAAGCCACACGCACACAAAAAGUGCUAUAAAAUGUCUUUGAUUCUUCCUCCUCUUCAUUCGUACUAUUAUAUACCAACCUGAACAACAUCGCCCUUUAAAACCAGGCCACCUUUGGAGCCGUGAUUUAACUACAUAGUGUUUCUCGAGCAUCUAAUCCUUGAAACAGGAUCCUAUGUCGUACUUGGUUAAGACUCCAUACAACUUCAGUAGGGUCUGCUGCAUCAUUCACUCCAGAUAAAACCCCAAGAAAUCAAAACAGGAUUAUUCAGCAAUUUAAACAAAAACUGUUUUCCUGCUGAUGACACUGAGUGUCAUGUCACGUUCCUGGUAAUGAAAGUCGUCGUCAGAUACAUGGUGAGGUCAACUCACCUUGUCACUAAAGUUCAAAAAUUCAAAAGCCCUUCCUUCAAAAAUUUUUAAAAUUCUUGCUAGCUUUUAUCACCAUUUCCAUUGUGAGAUUUUUCUUUUUCAGAGAUGAAAAUAAAGGUCAUUUUUUAAUUCCCAGCUUCUAGUUUAGUGUUAUCUCAAAU